UAGGGAAUAUUGCAAAAUGGGCGAAAGCCCGAUGCAGCAACGCCGCGUGGGCGAUGAAGGCCUUCGGGUCGUAAAGCCCUUUUUGAGGGGAUGAGGAAGGACAGUACCCUCAGAAUAAGCCUCGGCUAACUACGUGCCAGCAGCCGCGGUAAAACGUAGGAGGCGAGCGUUAUCCGGAUUUACUGGGCGUAAAGCGCGUGCAGGCGGAUUGGAGAGUUGGAUGUGAAAGCUCCCGGCUUAACUGGGAGAGGUCGUUCAAUACUUCCAGUCUUGAGUGCAGUAGAGGGAAGUGGAAUUCCGGGUGUAGUGGUGAAAUGCGUAGAUAUCCGGAGGAACACCAGUGGCGAAAGCGGCCUCCUGGCCCAUUUCUGACGCUCAGACACGAAAGCUAAGGUAGCAAACG
This 403-nucleotide ribosomal RNA is filed under the name uncultured bacterium. Its description in RNAcentral is "bacterial SSU rRNA". It matches the Rfam family "Bacterial small subunit ribosomal RNA", at positions 355 to 774 of the family's 1533-position model. The record is from RNAcentral.